CGCUUCGGUUGUUUUUUGUGUAUUUUUAUAAUCAGUAUUUUUCAGGUUAUUUUCAUCAGUUCAUUGUAUAAAGUAUACAAGAUAUGAAUAGUCCAUGUUCAAAAGUGUCAGAUUCUGGAACAACACACUUGAAUUUAAAGUCCCUCACAUUAAAAAGCUGCACAACUUCCCCAACUGUCAAUGUGGGAGAUAUUUCAUGGUUUUUUCCAGUCACAGUAAAUUCAUUGUUCUUUAAUCCAAAGUCAUGAUACUGAUUGAAUAUAUCAAUAAAGGUGGUAGAAUUAGAAAAUGGGGCUAUUAUACUUUUUUUCUCGUUCCUGUGUGGACACUCAUCGAUUGUUAUUGAUAACACACUUUGACUGAUGGCCAUAGCAGAAGCCAUGCCGUUGUUUGACUUCAAUCUGUAUCACACAAAUGCUUACUGUAUUAAAAUUUUAUUUGAAAUCAAACGUUUAAAAGAUGCCAUUCAAAGGCUAUACUAAACAAAAACCGUUUCCGGAAAAAAAACGAAAAAAAAUCCGGAUUUUUUUUUUUUUUUUUUUUUUUCCGGGAAAAAAAAAGUUAGGGUCGGCGCCA
Molecule: long non-coding RNA, 576 nt
Filed under: Mytilus galloprovincialis (Mediterranean mussel)
Lineage: Eukaryota; Metazoa; Mollusca; Bivalvia; Mytilida; Mytilidae
Source: RNAcentral